UCGGUCAUUGACCUAUCCAAGGAUCGAGGAACAAAUCACACAUGCAUCAACAUCUUCAGUUCUUUGAACGAAAACGAACUUUAAAAGCGACAUAAAGACAUGGACACUUACAGUAUCAUGAUCAUUCGCUUGCGACAUUUAUAACAUACAUGAGCAUGCAAUCGUCUUUAAAACACUGAUCACCAAUGCCGGAAUACUGAUUCUCAAUCACUUGCGUUACAAGCCUCUUGCCAAGCAGAGUCGAUCUUAACUACAAAACAAGGGAUCAGAAUCUUUCUUUGGUGGACGGAACACAUACGCUUCCCUAGCCAUUCGUGUUCUUUUGGGAUUUUUCUCUUGUACACACGCAUUGGCCCUCCCUCCUUUGCCUGUCUGGACCUCGUCAACAACACUAGGGUAUGUCCCCAACGUCCCAUCUAAAGGUUUUGUGGGCCCCACUCCUCCCUUCUGGGAGGACAUACCACGCGGGUUCCUUUUUCUUCGGCCACCUGUGCAGAGGUCUUCAGUCUUGAGGAAUCCUUUUUUCUUCUUAUUCCUUCCCUUUCUCACUCACUUAUAAAUCUGGUAAGUUUUUACACAAUCCGUUAACAAGACACGUAAAGAACCCGUUAAUAACAGAUCUUUAACAGAUUUACACAAGAAUGACA
This 647-nucleotide long non-coding RNA is filed under the name Malus domestica (apple). Its description in RNAcentral is "long non-coding RNA (MDOM_LNC017210)". The record is from RNAcentral. Lineage: Eukaryota; Viridiplantae; Streptophyta; Magnoliopsida; Rosales; Rosaceae.